This 250-nucleotide ribosomal RNA is filed under the name uncultured bacterium. Its description in RNAcentral is "partial 16S ribosomal RNA". It matches the Rfam family "Bacterial small subunit ribosomal RNA", at positions 524 to 773 of the family's 1533-position model. The record is from RNAcentral.
UACGGAGGGAGCUAGCGUUGUUCGGAAUUACUGGGCGUAAAGCGCACGUAGGCGGCGAUUUAAGUCAGAGGUGAAAGCCCGGGGCUCAACCCCGGAACUGCCUUUGAGACUGGAUUGCUUGAAUCCUGGAGAGGUGAGUGGAAUUCCGAGUGUAGAGGUGAAAUUCGUAGAUAUUCGGAAGAACACCAGUGGCGAAGGCGGCUCACUGGACAGGUAUUGACGCUGAGGUGCGAAAGCGUGGGGAGCAAAC